GUAGUUCGACUCCGUGGCUACGAGGACGACGCUGGCGGCGUGCCUAACACAUGCAAGUCGAACGGACUGAUUCCCUUCGGGGAAGAAAGUUAGUGGAGGACGGGUGAGUAACGCGUGAGCAACCUGCCUUUCAGAGGGGAAUAACGUUUGGAAACAGACGCUAAUACCGCAUAACGCAUAGGUGUCGCAUGGCAUUUAUGCCAAAGGAGCAAUCCGCUGAAAGAUGGGCUCGCGUCCGAUUAGAUAGUUGGUGGGGUAACGGCCUACCAAGUCGACGAUCGGUAGCCGGACUGAGAGGUUGAACGGCCACAUUGGGACUGAGACACGGCCCAGACUCCUACGGGAGGCAGCAGUGGGGGAUAUUGCACAAUGGGCGCAAGCCUGAUGCAGCAACGCCGCGUGAGGGAAGACGGUUUUCGGAUUGUAAACCUCUGUCUUUGGUGACGAAGAAAUGACGGUAGCCGAGGAGGAAGCCACGGCUAACUACGUGCC
RNAcentral lists this ribosomal RNA (492 nucleotides) under uncultured organism. RNAcentral describes it as "SSU rRNA". It matches the Rfam family "Bacterial small subunit ribosomal RNA", at positions 1 to 509 of the family's 1533-position model. The record is from RNAcentral.